RNAcentral lists this ribosomal RNA (302 nucleotides) under uncultured bacterium. RNAcentral's name for it is "partial 16S ribosomal RNA". It matches the Rfam family "Bacterial small subunit ribosomal RNA", at positions 508 to 807 of the family's 1533-position model. The record is from RNAcentral.
GCAGUCGCCGCGGGAAUACGGAGGGCGCGAGCGUUACCCGGAUUUACUGGGCGUAAAGGGCGUGUAGGCGGCCUGGGGCGUCCCAUGUGAAAGGCCACGGCUCAACCGUGGAGGAGCGUGGGAUACGCUCAGGCUAGAGGGUGGGAGAGGGUGGUGGAAUUCCCGGAGUAGCGGUGAAAUGCGCAGAUACCGGGAGGAACGCCGAUGGCGAAGGCAGCCACCUGGUCCACUUCUGACGCUGAGGCGCGAAAGCGUGGGGAGCAAACCGGAUUAGAUACCCCAGUAGUCCCUGUCUCUUAUAC